This is a non-coding RNA of Pelodiscus sinensis (Chinese soft-shelled turtle), 642 nucleotides long. Lineage: Eukaryota; Metazoa; Chordata; Testudines; Trionychidae. The record is from RefSeq and is a predicted model, not a curated record.
CUGUAUGUCCCCACCCCCAUCUGUCUGUCCCCAUACACCCCUGUAUGUCCCCACCCCCCAUCUGUCUGUCCCAUACACCUUUCUAUGGAGCUAUCCAUCCCCAUAUACCCCGUCUGACUUCCUGUCUGUCCCCAUACACUGUCUCUUCCCUGCCGUCCCCACGGCCUGGGGACUGGCGCUAGGCCCAUGCAGACGGGCCUCUUUUCCCUGUGCACUGGCCAUGCAGCUGUGCUAGGCUGGUGGCAGGACCCUCGGCGCCCGGCGGGGCCCCGGUCGGGCACCAAGCCCUGCGCAGCUGAGGCUACCCUGCUGGAUAGUCCUGUCUUUUGUUUCAGCAAGACCAGACUAACACGGCUGCAUCCCUUUCACCCUUCUGGGCUGGAGUUUGCCAGACGCUGGGGAGAGGCAGGGCCCCCUCUGCCAGCCCGGCCCCUCCCGGGAAGGCAGCGCCAGGUCCCCCAUGGAGUGGCAUGGUGGGCUGUCCUGCGCCAAUUGCCAGCCUCCAUCGCUCCUGCCCACCUCCCCUUGCUUGCGCAGAGACUGGGUAUCAGCCCUGCCCGGUGGGGCCUGGGGACCCCCCUUCUCCUCGUCCUCGCUCCCCGUCGGAUGCUCCUGCUUUUUAUUAAAGGUUCAGUAAACCCG